GUGAGAUGAACGCUGGCGGCAGGCCUAACACAUGCAAGUCGAACGGUAACAGGAAGAAGCUUGCUUCUUUGCUGACGAGUGGCGGACGGGUGAGUAAUGUCUGGGAAACUGCCUGAUGGAGGGGGAUAACUACUGGAAACGGUAGCUAAUACCGCAUAACGUCGCAAGACCAAAGAGGGGGACCUUCGGGCCUCUUGCCAUCGGAUGUGCCCAGAUGGGAUUAGCUUGUUGGUGGGGUAACGGCUCACCAAGGCGACGAUCCCUAGCUGGUCUGAGAGGAUGACCAGCCACACUGGAACUGAGACACGGUCCAGACUCCUACGGGAGGCAGCAGUGGGGAAUAUUGCACAAUGGGCGCAAGCCUGAUGCAGCCAUGCCGCGUGUAUGAAGAAGGCCUUCGGGUUGUAAAGUACUUUCAGCGGGGAGGAAGGGAGUAAAGUUAAUACCUUUGCUCAUUGACGUUACCCGCAGAAGAAGCACCGGCUAACUCCGUGCCAGCAGCCGCGGUAAUACGGAGGGUGCAAGCGUUAAUCGGAAUUACUGGGCGUAAAGCGCACGCAGGCGGUUUGUUAAGUCAGAUGUGAAAUCCCCGGGCUCAACCUGGGAACUGCAUCUGAUACUGGCAAGCUUGAGUCUCGUAGAGGGGGGUAGAAUUCCAGGUGUAGCGGUGAAAUGCGUAGAGAUCUGGAGGAAUACCGGUGGCGAAGGCGGCCCCCUGGACGAAGACUGACGCUCAGGUGCGAAAGCGUGG
RNAcentral lists this ribosomal RNA (751 nucleotides) under Enterobacteriaceae bacterium DHL-26. RNAcentral's name for it is "bacterial SSU rRNA". It matches the Rfam family "Bacterial small subunit ribosomal RNA", at positions 23 to 764 of the family's 1533-position model. Lineage: Bacteria; Pseudomonadati; Pseudomonadota; Gammaproteobacteria; Enterobacterales; Enterobacteriaceae. The record is from RNAcentral.